CACCACCCUCUGAUGACUGGUUACCCCUCAGAUUCCUACUAAAUCUUUCCCCCUUCACCUUAAACCUAUGUCAUCUGGUUCUAGAAUUCCCUCGCUCUGGGCCAGAGACCCU
This is a long non-coding RNA of Amblyraja radiata (thorny skate), 112 nucleotides long. RefSeq lists it as uncharacterized. The transcript is spliced from 3 exons. Lineage: Eukaryota; Metazoa; Chordata; Chondrichthyes; Rajiformes; Rajidae. The record is from RefSeq and is a predicted model, not a curated record.